CUCCGUGACUCCUACGGGAGGCAGCAGUGGGGAAUAUUGCACAAUGGGGGAAACCCUGAUGCAGCCAUGCCGCGUGUGUGAAGAAGGCCUUCGGGUUGUAAAGCACUUUCAGUAGGGAGGAAGGUAGUGUAGUUAACACCUGCAUUAUUUGACGUUACCUACAGAAGAAGCACCGGCUAACUCCGUGCCAGCAGCCGCGGUAAUACGGAGGGUGCGAGCGUUAAUCGGAAUUACUGGGCGUAAAGCGCAUGCAGGCGGCCUGUUAAGUCAGAUGUGAAAGCCCGGGGCUUAACCUCGGAAUUGCAUUUGAAACUGGCAGGCUAGAGUCUUGUAGAGGGGGUAGAAUUUCAGGUGUAGCGGUGAAAUGCGUAGAGAUCUGAAGGAAUACCAGUGGCGAAGGCGGCCCCCUGGACAAAGACUGACGCUCAGAUGCGAAAGCGUGGGGAGCAAACAGGAUUAGAUACCCUGGUAG
RNAcentral lists this ribosomal RNA (472 nucleotides) under uncultured bacterium. RNAcentral describes it as "bacterial SSU rRNA". It matches the Rfam family "Bacterial small subunit ribosomal RNA", at positions 328 to 793 of the family's 1533-position model. The record is from RNAcentral.